Molecule: ribosomal RNA, 407 nt
Filed under: uncultured bacterium
Lineage: Bacteria
Description: partial 16S ribosomal RNA
Rfam family: Bacterial small subunit ribosomal RNA
Source: RNAcentral
AUUGAACGCUGGCGGCAGGCCUAACACAUGCAAGUCGAGCGGAGCGGCGGACGGGUGAGUAAUGCCUAGGAAUCUGCCUGGUAGUGGGGGAUAACGUCCGGAAACGGGCGCUAAUACCGCAUACUAUCAGAUGAGCCUAGGUCGGAUUAGCUAGUUGGUGGGGUAAAGGCCUACCAAGGCGACGAUCCGUAACUGGUUUGCGAGGAAGACCAGCCACACUGGGACUGGGACACGGCCCAGACUCCUACGGGAGGCAGCAGUGGGGAAUUUUGGACAAGGGGGGAAACCCGGAUCCAGCCAUCCCGCGUGGGGGAUGAAGGCCUUCGGGUUGUAAAGCACUUUUGGCAGGAAAGCGGUACCUGAAGAAUAAGCACCGGCUAACUACGUGCCAGCAGCCGCGGUAAUAC